Molecule: small nuclear RNA, 35 nt
Filed under: Cervus elaphus hippelaphus
Lineage: Eukaryota; Metazoa; Chordata; Mammalia; Artiodactyla; Cervidae
Source: RNAcentral
AUCGUUUCUUGGCCUUUUGGCUAAGAUCAAGUGUA